This is a non-coding RNA of Poecilia reticulata (guppy), 1518 nucleotides long. The record is from RefSeq and is a predicted model, not a curated record. NCBI's taxonomy places the organism in Eukaryota, Metazoa, Chordata, Actinopteri, Cyprinodontiformes, Poeciliidae.
GGGAUGGAAUCACAGGACAUAAAUACUUUAAAGUGUUUUUACGCAUUUGUGCUGUUUUUCUUACGUUUCAUUCAGAUCCCUCUAAGGAUUUCUGAUUGUACAUUUUUUCUCGCCUUGUAGCCAACCCCGGCCGCGUUAAAGAAUGAAAGAUGUGACUUGAACCUUUAUUUUGACACCCUGGCAGCUGUUUGAUAAAUGUACCUUUUUGCUCCCUCAGAUGUAAAUACAUCUGAGGGAGCAAAUUUACAUCUGAGAACACGACUGACGUACAAAAUCAGUCACACUCUCUGCUUGGCACAACGGGCACCAUCGAUCAACGUGGACCAAAGCACCAAAGCUUAUUGAUACGAGCUGUCUGCUGGAUUUGACAGGUCCCAUCGCGCGCUGCUGCUGCUAGACGACACAAUUGCUGCUUCUGCUGAGGAAUCUCCCUCCGUGUUUGUCGCUGAUGCCAAAUAAAAUCAGAGCAGCAGAAGACAACAAGCACAUCAUUCAGGUAGCUGACAAAAUAUGCAGUGGUGUGUCCUCAGGACAAAGGAUUAACAGUAGCCAGUGAUUUUUAUUUAUUAAACGAGUGCCACCGUGUGUUUAAAAGUCAGUACUGCAACAGCUAAAAAUAAAUAACCCACGGGAGUUGUGGCCAGGUUUCAGAGAUGAAAGAAAUUAGUUUAGAAAGCCCAUGAGUAACAAAAAGCUAAUUUAUUUGACAGCUGAACAUUAGUGAUUUAUAAAAGAAACACGUAGUCAAAACAUUAAAUAUUAGCUUAGUGUUUGUUUUUAAUUGAGGCUUGGAAGUUUUGCUCCAAAUAGAAAAAAUAAAUGUUUACUGAAAAUGAGAAUAGGCCUAUGAUUAAAUUUAUUAUAAAGGGUGAAUCAGAGACAGACACAAUGGUUGUAAUUCUUUUAAAAAGCUUCUCACUCCUUUAGUGUUUCCUGUGACUUUAUUGUAAGUUCAUGAUGUCAACAUAUGGUGCCUUCACUGCUCAAAAACAUCUAACUUUUCCGAUUGUGGUGGUGCAGUUCUAAUUUUAUGGUUAAAAAUGGCUAAAUUAUUCAUAAGCAACGUAAAAUUAUGUAAAAAAAAAUAUUAAAGAGAGUAAAGACAAAAUGAACAAAAAGAAAUUCAUAAGUUUGUUUUUUUUUAUUCACAGAUCAAAUUUGAAUCAUUACAGCACAACAGAACGUUGUCCAUGCAACAAAUCCCUCAUCUCUGCCAUUUAUUACAGUAUCGCUCUCAAAAAUGGCACAAACACCAAAGAUUCAGUUCAGUGGUCAUAUAUAUGUAUAUAUUUAUAUAUAUAAUUAACAUUAUGCACAAAAUAUAAAAUCAGCAUCUGUCUUUGACAUCAAUACACAGUGGCUGCAAUAUAACAUCUUUUGCAUCUAUGUUCAAGUACACAGAGCAGGUACUAUGCAGUGCAAAGUUUCCAUAAAUUUCUCGUUAUGGAAUUGCAUAAUAAAUACCAACAGACCCUUAAGACUGAUGACUCAAAACCAGAGUGCCAACAGAGGGGGGGG